RNAcentral lists this ribosomal RNA (399 nucleotides) under uncultured bacterium. Its description in RNAcentral is "bacterial SSU rRNA". It matches the Rfam family "Archaeal small subunit ribosomal RNA", at positions 339 to 738 of the family's 1478-position model. The record is from RNAcentral.
GCGCGAAAACUUUACAAUGCUGGCAACAGCGAUAAGGGAACCUCGAGUGCCAGGUUACAAAUCUGGCUGUCGAGAUGCCUAAAAAAGCAUUUCAUAGCAAGGGCCGGGCAAGACCGGUGCCAGCCGCCGCGGUAACACCGGCGGCUCGAGUGGUAACCGUUAUUAUUGGGUCUAAAGGGUCUGUAGCCGGCCGGAUAAGUCUCUUGAGAAAUCUGGCAGCUUAACUGUCAGGCUUUCAGGAGAUACUGUCUGGCUCGAGGCCGGGAGAGGUGAGAGGUACUUCAGGGGUAGGGUGAAAUCUUGUAAUCCUUGAAGGACCACCAGUGGCGAAGGCGUCUCACCAGAACGGACCUGACGGCAAGGGACGAAAGCUAGGGGCACGAACCGGAUUAGAGACCC